UGCACCCGACGAGACUCGAACUCGCCAACCUCAGAUCCGAAAUCUGAUACGCUAUCCAUUGCGCAACGAGUGC
RNAcentral lists this transfer RNA (73 nucleotides) under Bryopsis hypnoides. RNAcentral's name for it is "tRNA-Arg". The record is from RNAcentral. Lineage: Eukaryota; Viridiplantae; Chlorophyta; Ulvophyceae; Bryopsidales; Bryopsidaceae.